GCCAUCAUAGCUCAGUUGCAGAGCGCUGUUCUUGUAAACCAGGGGUCGUGAGUUCGUUCCUCAUUGUUGGGUUUGCA
Molecule: non-coding RNA, 77 nt
Organism: Trichonephila clavipes
Lineage: Eukaryota; Metazoa; Arthropoda; Arachnida; Araneae; Nephilidae
Source: the annotation of a GenBank genome assembly